RNAcentral lists this ribosomal RNA (198 nucleotides) under Triticum aestivum (bread wheat). Its description in RNAcentral is "partial small subunit ribosomal RNA". Lineage: Eukaryota; Viridiplantae; Streptophyta; Magnoliopsida; Poales; Poaceae. The record is from RNAcentral.
AUGGUGGUGGGAUAUCCGGUGACUCAGCCCAACCAUUCCAAAGAGGCGCAGGUUUUGUUAGAUAUCUACAUGAUGGGCUCCGAUGGAAUGGAGCGAGAGGAAAACGAGUGGAGCUUGAUUUUCUCCGAAGCCGGGUUCAGCGACUACAAGAUCACUCCAACCAAUGGGAUUCGAUCAAUUAUCGAAGUAUACCCUUAA